GCCAGGUGUGGUGGCGCACACCUGUAAUCUCAGCUACUCGGGAGGCUGAGGCAGGAGAAUCACUUGAACCCAGGAGACGGAGGUUGCAGUGAGCCGAGAUAGCGCCACUGCACUCCAGCCUGGGUGACAGAGUGAGACUCCAUCUCAA
RNAcentral lists this non-coding RNA (148 nucleotides) under Homo sapiens (human). The record is from Rfam by way of RNAcentral. Lineage: Eukaryota; Metazoa; Chordata; Mammalia; Primates; Hominidae.